AGAUUUGUUGGAGUCUCGGAUGGGAUUUUGGAGUAAGGACAAUGUGAGGCUUAUUACCGAUGCUGUUCCCUCGGUGCACUCGAUGGAAUCAAGUCCACCACCAUCAAGGCUUUCACCUGAAUCUGGCGCGGGCAGGACUCGAGGACCAAGUGGUAGCACUUGCAGAAAUUCUGUGCACCGAAAAAGAGCUCCUAGCAGAAUUUUGGCAGAGCGUGCAGCCAGUAAUGAAGGGAUAGAUGCACCUGACAGAGGGCUUCUCUCUACAGGAUCCUGGGCCAUUAGUGCUUCGUCGUGGGUCACAGUGCAACAUCAGAUGUCUGCAAAGCUCAUCAGUUUUCCUUGGACUAGGGUGGCCCCUAAAUCAUGGCUGCAGCUG
This is a long non-coding RNA of Perca fluviatilis (European perch), 376 nucleotides long. RefSeq lists it as uncharacterized. NCBI's taxonomy places the organism in Eukaryota, Metazoa, Chordata, Actinopteri, Perciformes, Percidae. The record is from RefSeq and is a predicted model, not a curated record. The transcript is spliced from 3 exons.